Molecule: ribosomal RNA, 373 nt
Filed under: uncultured bacterium
Lineage: Bacteria
Description: bacterial SSU rRNA
Rfam family: Bacterial small subunit ribosomal RNA
Source: RNAcentral
AUACGGAGGGUGCAAGCGUUAUCCGGAUUUAUUGGGUUUAAAGGGUCCGUAGGCGGACUCGUAAGUCAGUGGUGAAAUCUCAUAGCUUAACUAUGAAACUGCCAUUGAUACUGCGGGUCUUGAGUAAGGUAGAGGUAGCUGGAAUAAGUAGUGUAGCGGUGAAAUGCAUAGAUAUUACUUAGAACACCAAUUGCGAAGGCAGGUUACCAUGUCUUAACUGACGCUGAUGGACGAAAGCGUGGGGAGCGAACAGGAUUAGAUACCCUGGUAGUCCACGCCGUAAACGAUGCUAACUCGUUUUUGGGUCUUCGGAUUCAGAGACUAAGCGAAAGUGAUAAGUUAGCCACCUGGGGAGUACGAACGCAAGUUUGAA